CAUCCUCCAAGGCUAAAUACUCCUGACUGACCGAUAGUGAACCAGUACCGUGAGGGAAAGGCGAAAAGAACCCCGGCGAGGGGAGUGAAAAAGAACCUGAAACCGUGUACGUACAAGCAGUGGGAGCACCCUUUGGGUGUGACUGCGUACCUUUUGUAUAAUGGGUCAGCGACUUAUAUUCUGUAGCAAGGUUAACCGAAUAGGGGAGCCGGAGGGAAACCGAGUCUUAACCGGGCGUUAAGUUGCAGGGUAUAGACCCGAAACCCGGUGAUCUAGCCAUGGGCAGGUUGAAGGUUGGGUAACACUAACUGGAGGACCGAACCGACUAAUGUUGAAAAAUUAGCGGAUGACCUGUGGCUGGGGGUGAAAGGCCAAUCAAACCGGGAGAUAGCUGGUUCUCCCCGAAAGCUAUUUAGGUAGCG
RNAcentral lists this ribosomal RNA (422 nucleotides) under Salmonella enterica subsp. enterica serovar Enteritidis. Its description in RNAcentral is "partial 23S ribosomal RNA". It matches the Rfam family "Bacterial large subunit ribosomal RNA", at positions 454 to 879 of the family's 2925-position model. The record is from RNAcentral. Lineage: Bacteria; Pseudomonadati; Pseudomonadota; Gammaproteobacteria; Enterobacterales; Enterobacteriaceae.